AGGCCUGGUAACGCCCGUACCCCUUGAAAGAACCCUCGGAGAGAACCCUCCCAAUCCAAACCAAGGGCGCCGUCACCCGUAAGGGUGGAUAUCCCCAACCAGAGGCCGGAUCGGGCGCGUUGUGUGCUUACGUUCUUCUCAACGAAAAGCAACAGACAUGAGACGACCCCCGCCGGGAUUGCAGUCCGGGCGAGGGUCUGACCACCCAGGAAGUAGGCCCUUCCCG
This 226-nucleotide non-coding RNA is filed under the name Streptomycetaceae bacterium MP113-05. Its description in RNAcentral is "Streptomyces sRNA 4677". It matches the Rfam family "Streptomyces sRNA 4677". From Rfam's summary of the family: Located in the intergenic region between anti-sigma factor SCO4677 gene and a putative regulatory protein gene SCO4676. scr4677 expression requires the SCO4677 activity and scr4677 sRNA itself seem to affect the levels of the SCO4676-associated transcripts. Lineage: Bacteria; Bacillati; Actinomycetota; Actinomycetes; Kitasatosporales; Streptomycetaceae. The record is from Rfam by way of RNAcentral.